This 115-nucleotide ribosomal RNA is filed under the name Agitococcus sp. RNAcentral also lists the same sequence under 2 other names. Lineage: Bacteria; Pseudomonadati; Pseudomonadota; Gammaproteobacteria; Moraxellales; Moraxellaceae. The record is from RNAcentral.
UCUGGCGACCAUAGUACGUGUGAACCACCUGAUCCCUUCCCGAACUCAGAAGUGAAACCAUAGUACGCCAAUGGUAGUGUGGCAUUCGCCAUGUGAGAGUAGGUCAUCGCCAGAC